Molecule: ribosomal RNA, 663 nt
Filed under: uncultured Actinomycetales bacterium
Lineage: Bacteria; Bacillati; Actinomycetota; Actinomycetes; Actinomycetales
Description: bacterial SSU rRNA
Rfam family: Bacterial small subunit ribosomal RNA
Source: RNAcentral
UCCGACGGUGAGAGGCGAAAGCGUGGGGAGCGAACAGGCUUAGAUACCCUGGUAGUCCACGCUGUAAACGGUGGGUACUAGGUGUGGGGUCCAUUCCACGGGUUCCGUGCCGUAGCUAACGCUUUAAGUACCCCGCCUGGGGAGUACGGCCGCAAGGCUAAAACUCAAAGGAAUUGACGGGGCCCCGCACAAGCGGCGGAGCAUGCGGAUUAAUUCGAUGCAACGCGUAGAACCUUACCUGGGUUUGACAUGGAUCGGGAGUGCUCAGAGAUGGGUGUGCCUCUUUUGGGGUCGGUUCACAGGUGGUGCAUGGCUGUCGUCAGCUCGUGUCGUGAGAUAUUGGGUUAAGUCCCGCAACGAGCGCAACCCUUGUUCACUGUUGCCAGCACGUUAUGGUGGGGACUCAGUGGAGACCGCCGGGGUCAACUCGGAGGAAGGUGGGGAUGACGUCAAGUCAUCAUGCCCCUUAUGUCCAGGGCUUCACGCAUGCUACAAUGGCUGGUACAGAGAGUGGCGAGCCUGUGAGGGUGAGCGAAUCUCGGAAAGCCGGUCUCAGUUCGGAUUGGGGUCUGCAACUCGACCUCAUGAGGUCGGAGUCGCUAGUAAUCGCAGAUCAGCAACGCUGCGGUGAAUACGUUCCCGGGGCUUGCACACACCGCCCGU